Molecule: non-coding RNA, 840 nt
Organism: Prunus avium (sweet cherry)
Lineage: Eukaryota; Viridiplantae; Streptophyta; Magnoliopsida; Rosales; Rosaceae
Source: RefSeq, a predicted model, not a curated record
CAGGGGCAAAAUAAUCCAAACCGCUGCCCUUUCCCAGAUGCCCGUAGAGGCCAGUGACAUAGAAGCAGCACUACCAGAACGCACAGAGCUCUCUCUGAAACUGAAAAUGGCGUUCGCUUAUCAGAAAGAGGUUUACUUCGUGGCUUAAAUCACUCCAUGUAUGACCAGCAAUGAGAAGGAUGCUGAUUCUCAGAGGCUGGCCGUUUUCUGCUGGUAAAAUGUAAACAAGAACAAGCAGGGUAUCGUGAAUAAUCAGUUUUCACGGAUUCAGACCUUGAAGAGUGAUGAAGAUCCUGAUUGUGCUGUGCGGCUGAUCAAUAUAUAUUUGCUUGAUGUUGAAAGACUUUUAUCAGAAUUGACAAGCCUCAGUGAUUUACCUGAUGUUGAUUUUUCCAAAUUGGCUACACUGGCUUACAGUAUAGAGGAGAAAAGCUCAUUCAUUGGUGCGGAACUUGUGGGAAGUGCAUGUGCUGAUCUCAUUCAGGCUUGCGAACUGAUGCACAAGCGAAAUUUCCUCCGAGCCUUAGGUUGGAUAAAGAAUGAAUUUGCUCAUACCCUAAACAAGCUGGACUCCUUUGUUCAGAUGGAGCGGAGGAUUUUCAGGGUCGAAGGCAGAGAAGUGAAGUAGAGAGAGCUUGUCUGCAGUCAAAUCUCCUCCAAGAGUGAGAGCUUCAUAAGGAUGUUUGCUUUCUUAGAAUAAAAGUCUCAGCUAUAAUUGGCUCAGAUUAGUUUCUGUCUUUAUUACUCUUUAGAGAGAGAAAGAGAGAGAACCCAAGAAGGAAGUGCAGUGCAGUGUACUCUUCUGUUUAUAAAAUAGAGAAGAGUCUUGCCCUUAUUUUA